UGGCUCAGUUGGUAGAGUAUGGUGCUUGGAAUGCCAGCGUUGUGGGUUUGAUUCCCAC
Molecule: transfer RNA, 58 nt
Filed under: Salmo salar (Atlantic salmon)
Lineage: Eukaryota; Metazoa; Chordata; Actinopteri; Salmoniformes; Salmonidae
Rfam family: tRNA
About the family: Transfer RNA (tRNA) molecules are approximately 80 nucleotides in length.
Source: Rfam by way of RNAcentral